RNAcentral lists this transfer RNA (68 nucleotides) under Marmota monax (woodchuck). RNAcentral describes it as "tRNA.Ala". Lineage: Eukaryota; Metazoa; Chordata; Mammalia; Rodentia; Sciuridae. The record is from RNAcentral.
GGCUUGUGGCUCAGUGGUAGCGUGCUCGCCUAGCACAUGUGAGGCACUGGGUUCGAUCCUCAGCAUCA